GGGUUCCCAUUGACUGGAUACCAAAAUGCCACUGACAUCUUGCUUGACUCACCUAUAGUGAACUGGGCAUCCUGCACGAGUCAGGUAUGUCGAGUUAUAUAAUAUCUUCAUUGUUAUAGAGCAUGCUCACAAUUCUUGCACAAUUAUCGAAUGAAAUAGCUGAUGUGGCAAUAGGACACUAAGAGAUCAAAAAAUCAAAUAUUCCUUGGACAGUAACGCCCAGUAGGUAUACUGUCAUGCAGAUAAAGAUGGUCUCAGUAAGUUCAGCGACAAAGAGAGGCCUCCAAUACACUUCAAAAGCUUUCAGCACAAGGCAAAUCAAACACUAGAGCUGCUGAGCAUUUUACAAAGUUGAAUGAGCCAGA
This 365-nucleotide long non-coding RNA is filed under the name Eucalyptus grandis. Its description in RNAcentral is "long non-coding RNA (EGRA_LNC006640)". The record is from RNAcentral. Lineage: Eukaryota; Viridiplantae; Streptophyta; Magnoliopsida; Myrtales; Myrtaceae.